RNAcentral lists this long non-coding RNA (214 nucleotides) under Eucalyptus grandis. Its description in RNAcentral is "long non-coding RNA (EGRA_LNC002994)". The record is from RNAcentral. Lineage: Eukaryota; Viridiplantae; Streptophyta; Magnoliopsida; Myrtales; Myrtaceae.
GGAUAUUAAUUGGAAUAGGCAUGCCUAAGUGUAUGUGUGUCAGACAGUUCAUCUGCGUGGAAUACUAGUAACGAACCUACAUUGGAUCCAGAACCGAGGUUCCCAGUUUCAGCAGAUCAAUCAGAUAAUUCCUUCUGAGGCAGAACAGAGCAGAGUGUGCAGAACUUCAGUUUGUUGAGAUGAGAUCAGAGAAAGAAAGAUCACAGGCCGAGGG